This 301-nucleotide ribosomal RNA is filed under the name uncultured bacterium. RNAcentral's name for it is "partial 16S ribosomal RNA". It matches the Rfam family "Bacterial small subunit ribosomal RNA", at positions 509 to 807 of the family's 1533-position model. The record is from RNAcentral.
CAGCCGCCACGGUAAUACGAAGGGUGCGAGCGUUAAUCGGAAUUACUGGGCGUAAAGCGUGCGCAGGCGGUUCGUUAAGACAGAUGUGAAAUCCCCGGGCUUAACCUGGGAACUGCAUUUGUGACAGGCGAGCUAGAGUAUGGCAGAGGGGGGUAGAAUUCCACGUGUAGCAGUGAAAUGCGUAGAGAUGUGGAGGAAUACCGAUGGCGAAGGCAGCCCCCUGGGCCAAUACUGACGCUCAUGCACGAAAGCGUGGGGAGCAAACAGGAUUAGAUACCCCAGUAGUCCCUGUCUCUUAUAC